UACGGGGGGGGCAAGCGUUGUUCGGAAUUACUGGGCGUAAAGGGCUUGUAGGUGGCCAACUAAGUCAGACGUGAAAUCCCUCGGCUUAACCGGGGAACUGCGUCUGAUACUGGAUGGCUUGAGUUUGGGAGAGGGAUGCGGAAUUCCAGGUGUAGCGGUGAAAUGCGUAGAUAUCUGGAGGAACCCCGGUGGCGAAGGCGGCAUCCUGGACCAAGACUGACACUGAAAAGCGAAAGCCAGGGGAGCAAACGGG
RNAcentral lists this ribosomal RNA (253 nucleotides) under uncultured bacterium. Its description in RNAcentral is "partial 16S ribosomal RNA". It matches the Rfam family "Bacterial small subunit ribosomal RNA", at positions 524 to 776 of the family's 1533-position model. The record is from RNAcentral.